This 768-nucleotide ribosomal RNA is filed under the name uncultured bacterium. Its description in RNAcentral is "bacterial SSU rRNA". It matches the Rfam family "Bacterial small subunit ribosomal RNA", at positions 8 to 796 of the family's 1533-position model. The record is from RNAcentral.
AGAGUUUGAUCAUGGCUCAGGAUGAACGCUGGCGGCGUGCUUAACACAUGCAAGUCGAACGGAAAGCCCCUUCGGGGGAAUUCGAGUGGCGAACGGGUGAGUAACACGAGGGCAAUCUGCCCUUCUCUCCGGGAUAACUCAGGGAAACUUGAGCUAAUACCGGAUACUCCGGGACUGUCGCAUGGCAGACCCGGGAAAGCUCCGACGGAGAAGGAUGAGCCCGCGGCCCAUUAGCUUGUUGGUGAGGUAACGGCUCACCAAGGCAGCGAUGGGUAGCCGAGCUGAGAGGCUGAUCGGCCACACUGGGACUGAGACACGGCCCAGACUCCUACGGGAGGCAGCAGUGGGGAAUAUUGCGCAAUGGGCGAAAGCCUGACGCAGCAACGCCGCGUGCGGGAUGACGGCCUUCGGGUUGUAAACCGCUUUCAGCAGGGACGAAACUGACGGUACCUGCAGAAGAAGCCCCGGCUAACUACGUGCCAGCAGCCGCGGUAAUACGUAGGGGGCAAGCGUUAUCCGGAUUCAUUGGGCGUAAAGAGCGCGUAGGCGGCUUGUUAAGCGAGAUGUGAAAUCCGUGGGCUCAACCCGCGGCCUGCAUCUCGAACUGGCAGGCUUGAGUCUGGUAGAGGGGUGUGGAAUUCCCAGUGUAGCGGUGAAAUGCGCAGAUAUUAGGAGGAACACCAGUGGCGAAGGCGGCACCCUGGGCCACGACUGACGCUGAGGCGCGAAAGCUAGGGGAGCAAACAGGAUUAGAUACCCUGGUAGUCC